UUGUUGUUUCACAUGCAGGGCGAUGCAUAAAUGUCUGCACCAUCCAUCCGAUGGACAUGAAGCCCGAUGUUUCAUCUGUCGACACUGAGGGCGUGAAAGGUCCUGUGGUGUCUUUUGCAAAAAGUAGGUUCAUCGGCGAUACGUUUUUCAGUUCUCGUGAUGCUACAAUCCAAUGAGCACCAUUACGCACGUAUUCGAGGCCACGGACAUAGUCGGGGGUGAGAUCACAUCAGGGCCGACUCCGCCCAGCAAGACGGAAUGUUCCCCUCGUCCAAUCGGGGGUGAGAUCACCUCAGGGCCGACUCCGCCCAGCAAGACGGAAUGUUCCCCUCGUCCAAUCGGGGGUGAGAUCACCUCAGAGCCAACCCCGCCCCAGCCAGAUGGAAUGUCCACCUCGUCCAAUGAGGGGAGGACACCGAUCGCCCGACGCCCUCCGACCAACCCAGAGGCGAGUUACUUCAGAGCAGAUCCCUCCACCCGUCCGGGGGGAGGGAUAAGAAAGGUGGUGAGCUGUCUCAGCGGGGUCUGGUCUUUGGUUUCUUGUCUUGGUCUUUUUCGGGGUUCCUUGGUGGUCGUGGUCGUGGUGGAGGUGUUUCGUGGUGCUCGUGUCGUCGAUCGUCGUUCGUCGCAGCCAGGAUCAUGGACUCGUUGGAUUCUGGGUCAUGGGUUCGAGUCUCACCGUGGUGGGUUGGAGUCGGUAAAACCACACAAGGUGGCCAGGUACCCGGCCAGACUCUGACCCUUUAGCUUGCCUUCCAUCCCGAGCUGAAGGGUCGAAUAAAGACCCACGAGGUCCAUUUCUUUUUUGGGUGUGUGUGUCUGUCUGUAGCCAUUCUGAUAAGUAGAAAUAGUUUACGUGAUUCCAUUGAACAUUUGCCUGCAUUCUUAUUCAUGGUUAAGUCUGCUCUGUGUUUCCCUCCCUCUUACAUUGUAAUAUAAAUAAAUAACUGUUAAAUGUUCCAGUUCGUUGUCUGUGCUUUCUUUCAUUGACCCAGCAUGGGUCGGGCUUGAAAAUUAGGGAGGCUGGUUGUGCCAUAAAUUGUCAUUUGGG
This 1051-nucleotide long non-coding RNA is filed under the name Eptatretus burgeri (inshore hagfish). RNAcentral describes it as "lncRNA (ENSEBUG00000017264.1)". The record is from RNAcentral. Lineage: Eukaryota; Metazoa; Chordata; Myxini; Myxiniformes; Myxinidae.